CCCUUAGAUGUUCUGGGCUGCACGCGCGCUACACUGAUGUGUCCAGUAAGCACCUAACCUCUUCCGAAAGGAACGGGUAACCUUUGCAAAGCACAUCGUGAUGGGGAUAGAUUAUUGCAAUUAUUAGUCUUGAACGAGGAAUUCCUAGUAAGCACAAGUCAUCAGCUUGUGUUGAUUACGUCCCUGCCCUUUGUACACACCGCCCGUCGCUCCUACCGAUUGAGUGUCUCGGUGAAUACUUUGGACUGCUUUCUUAUCGGUUCGCCGAUUUGCUAAGCGGAAAAUUGAGUGAACCUCGACACUUAGAGGAAGAAGAAGUCGUGACA
Molecule: ribosomal RNA, 326 nt
Filed under: uncultured eukaryote
Lineage: Eukaryota
Description: partial 18S ribosomal RNA
Rfam family: Eukaryotic small subunit ribosomal RNA
Source: RNAcentral